CCAGCUUCUCCAUCAUCGGGUAUC
Molecule: non-coding RNA, 24 nt
Filed under: Arabidopsis thaliana (thale cress)
Lineage: Eukaryota; Viridiplantae; Streptophyta; Magnoliopsida; Brassicales; Brassicaceae
Source: RNAcentral